AGUGAACGCUGGCGGUAGGCCUAACACAUGCAAGUCGAACGGCAGCACAGUAAGAGCUUGCUCUUACGGGUGGCGAGUGGCGGACGGGUGAGGAAUACAUCGGAAUCUACUUUUUCGUGGGGGAUAACGUAGGGAAACUUACGCUAAUACCGCAUACGACCUACGGGUGAAAGCAGGGGAUCUUCGGACCUUGCGCGAUUGAAUGAGCCGAUGUCGGAUUAGCUAUUUGGCGGGGUAAAGGCCCACCAAGGCGACGAUCCGUAGCUGGUCUGAGAGGAUGAUCAGCCACACUGGAACUGAGACACGGUCCAGACUCCUAAGGGAGGCAGCAGUGGGGAAUAUUGGACAAUGGGCGCAAGCCUGAUCCAGCCAUACCGCGUGGGUGAAGAAGGCCUUCGGGUUGUAAAGCCCUUUUGUUGGGAAAGAAAAGCAGCAGGUUAAUACCCCGCUGUUCUGACGGUACCCAAAGAAUAAGCACCGGCUAACUUCGUG
Molecule: ribosomal RNA, 492 nt
Filed under: uncultured bacterium
Lineage: Bacteria
Description: partial 16S ribosomal RNA
Rfam family: Bacterial small subunit ribosomal RNA
Source: RNAcentral